CCUACGGGGUGCAGCAGUGAGGAAUAUUGGUCAAUGGACGAGAGUCUGAACCAGCCAAGUAGCGUGAAGGAUGACUGCCCUAUGGGUUGUAAACUUCUUUUAUAUGGGAAUAAAAUGUUCCACGUGUGGGAUUUUGUAUGUACCAUAUGUAUAAGGAUCGGCUAACUCCGUGCCAGCAGCCGCGGUAAUACGGAGGAUCCGAGCGUUAUCCGGAUUUAUUGGGUUUAAAGGGAGCGUAGGUGGAUUGUUAAGUCAGUUGUGAAAGUUUGCGGCUCAACCGUAAAAUUGCAGUUGAAACUGGCAGUCUUGAGUACAGUAGAGGUGGGCGGAAUUCGUGGUGUAGCGGUGAAAUGCUUAGAUAUCACGAAGAACUCCGAUUGCGAAGGCAGUUCACUGGACUGCAACUGACACUGAGGCUCGAAAGUGUGGGUAUCAAACAGGAUUAGAUACCCGAGUAGUC
RNAcentral lists this ribosomal RNA (460 nucleotides) under uncultured bacterium. RNAcentral describes it as "partial 16S ribosomal RNA". It matches the Rfam family "Bacterial small subunit ribosomal RNA", at positions 338 to 795 of the family's 1533-position model. The record is from RNAcentral.